RNAcentral lists this ribosomal RNA (464 nucleotides) under uncultured bacterium. RNAcentral describes it as "partial 16S ribosomal RNA". It matches the Rfam family "Bacterial small subunit ribosomal RNA", at positions 28 to 507 of the family's 1533-position model. The record is from RNAcentral.
GACGAACGCUGGCGGCGUGCUUAACACAUGCAAGUCGAACGGAAAGGCCCCUUUGGGGGUACUCGAGUGGCGAACGGGUGAGUAACACGUGAGUAACCUGCCCUUGACUUCGGGAUAACUUCAGGAAACUGGGGCUAAUACCGGAUAGGAAUCCUUGCUGCAUGGUGGGGGUUGGAAAGCUUCGGCGGUUUUGGAUGGACUCGCGGCUUAUCAGCUUGUUGGUGGGGUAGUGGCUUACCAAGGCUUUGACGGGUAGCCGGCCUGAGAGGGUGACCGGCCACAUUGGGACUGAGAUACGGCCCAGACUCCUACGGGAGGCAGCAGUGGGGAAUAUUGCACAAUGGGCGGAAGCCUGAUGCAGCAACGCCGCGUGCGGGAUGACGGCCUUCGGGUUGUAAACCGCUUUCGCCUGUGACGAAGCGUGAGUGACGGUAAUGGGUAAAGAAGCACCGGCUAACUACGUG